Molecule: ribosomal RNA, 309 nt
Filed under: uncultured bacterium
Lineage: Bacteria
Description: partial 16S ribosomal RNA
Rfam family: Bacterial small subunit ribosomal RNA
Source: RNAcentral
AGAGACAGCAGUCGCCGCGGUAAUACGUAGGUGGCGAGCGUUGUCCGGAAUUAUUGGGCGUAAAGGGAGCGCAGGCGGACAUAUAAGUCCAUCUUAAAAGUGCGGGGCUCAACCCCGUGAGGGGAUGGAAACUGUAUGCCUUGAGUGCAGGAGAGGAAAGCGGAAUUCCCAGUGUAGCGGUGAAAUGCGUAGAUAUUGGGAGGAACACCAGUGGCGAAGGCGGCUUUCUGGACUGUAACUGACGCUGAGGCUCGAAAGCCAGGGGAGCGAACGGGAUUAGAUACCCCCGUAGUCCCUGUCUCUUAUACA